UGGUAAGCUACAUUAAUAGAGAUGAUUGUC
RNAcentral lists this non-coding RNA (30 nucleotides) under Mus musculus (house mouse). Lineage: Eukaryota; Metazoa; Chordata; Mammalia; Rodentia; Muridae. The record is from RNAcentral.